RNAcentral lists this long non-coding RNA (658 nucleotides) under Phascolarctos cinereus (koala). RNAcentral describes it as "lncRNA (ENSPCIG00000029293.2)". The record is from RNAcentral. Lineage: Eukaryota; Metazoa; Chordata; Mammalia; Diprotodontia; Phascolarctidae.
GGAGGAGUAAGCCAAGGGAAGCCUAUGGGGGUGAAAGAGAUAAGAUAACCUUCUCGAGCCCAAAUGGGAGAAGGGAGGACCACCAGCAAAAGAGGGAAAAACUUGAGGGCCUGGCUGGCCUGGUGUGAAAUGGUGCUACACAUUCUCAGCCUCAUCUCAGAACAGGACAGAGCUACUCUGAAGGGGAAGUAUCCAUGGCCGGAUUCCAUCGGAGGUGCCACUAGGGAGCAAGCUGGGGUGAAGUCUCAGACUGGAAGACACUCGGACCUGUUCCAAGCCAGGGAGCAGGAGGCAGAAGCCGGAGGAGCGAGAGGGUGGCUGACUACCUUGGCCCCUGGGGGGUCAGAGCAGACCCUGGGACAGGGAGAAGCAGCGGAGAAAGGGCCUUUGAAUGACAGGGCUAAGGGAAGGAAACCUCGCUCUGGGACUGGGAUCGGGCAAGACUCUUUCUGCUCAGAAAAGGACAGGACUGAGCGCAUUUCAACAUCAGCAUCAGCAUCAACCACCACGAAUAUUCAGGGGUGUGAGGUGAAAGCUCAGCUUCGUCCUGAGAAGUCAGCAAAAGGAUCUCAUGAGAACCAAGUGAGUUUCCCCAGCCCAGACCUACAAGCUUCAGGGAACCUACAGGUAAUUCUGGAGCUUUAUAGGGAGUUUGGGG